Molecule: ribosomal RNA, 460 nt
Filed under: uncultured bacterium
Lineage: Bacteria
Description: partial 16S ribosomal RNA
Rfam family: Bacterial small subunit ribosomal RNA
Source: RNAcentral
CCUACGGGAGGCAGCAGUGAGGAAUAUUGGUCAAUGGACGAGAGUCUGAACCAGCCAAGUAGCGUGAAGGAUGACUGCCCUAUGGGUUGUAAACUUCUUUUAUAUGGGAAUAAAAUGUUCCACGUGUGGGCUUUUGUAUGUACCAUAUGAAUAAGGAUCGGCUAACUCCGUGCCAGCAGCCGCGGUAAUACGGAGGAUCCGAGCGUUAUCCGGAUUUAUUGGGUUUAAAGGGAGCGUAGGUGGAUUGUUAAGUCAGUUGUGAAAGUUUGCGGCGCAACCGUAAAAUUGCAGUUGAAACUGGCAGUCUUGAGUACAGUAGAGGUGGGCGGAAUUCGUGGUGUAGCGGUGAAAUGCUUAGAUAUCACGAAGAACUCCGAUUGCGAAGGCAGCUCACUGGACUGCAACUGACACUGAGGCUCGAAAGUGUGGGUAUCAAACAGGAUUAGAUACCCGAGUAGUC